GUAGCCGGCUUUACAAGUCUUCUGUUAAAUCCAGCAACCCAAUUGUUGGACUGCGGGAGAUACUGCCUAGCUAGAGAACGGGAGAAGCCGACGGUACUCUCAGGGUAGGAGUGAAAUCCUAUAAUCCUGGGAGGACCACCAGUGGCGUAGGCUGUCGGCUAGAACGUGUCUGACGGUGAGGGACGAAAGCUUGGGGAGCGAACCGGAUUAGAUACCCGGGUAGUCCAAGCUGUAAACGAUGCGGGCUAGGUGUUGGUGUGGCUACGUGCCACUUCAGUGCCGCAGGGAAGCCGUUAAGCCCGCCGCCUGGAGAGUACGGUCGCAAGGCUGAAACUUAAAGGAAUUGGCGGGGGAGCACCACAAGGGGUGAAGCUUGCGGUUUAAUUGGAGUCAACACCGGGAAACUUACCAGGAGCGACAGUUGGAUGAAGGUCAGAUCAAAGGUCUUACCGGACUAGCUGAGAGGAGGUGCAUGGCCGUCGCCAGUUCGUGCCGUGAGGUGUUCUCUCAAGUGAGACAACGAACGAGACCCGCACCAUUAGUUGCCAGCGGAUUCCUUCGGGAUUCCAGGCACACUAAUGGGACUGCCCACGCUAAGUGGGAGGAAGGAACGGGCCACGGCAGGUCAGUAUGCCCCAGAUCUCCUGGGCCACACGCGAGCUGCAAUGGCUGGGACAAUGGGAUCCGACCUCGAGAGGGGAAGGCAAUCCUCAAACCCAGCCUCAGUUGGGAUCGAGGGCUGUAACCCGCCCUCGUGAACAUGGAAUCCCUAGUA
This 775-nucleotide ribosomal RNA is filed under the name uncultured crenarchaeote. Its description in RNAcentral is "bacterial SSU rRNA". It matches the Rfam family "Archaeal small subunit ribosomal RNA", at positions 521 to 1296 of the family's 1478-position model. The record is from RNAcentral. Lineage: Archaea; Thermoproteati; Thermoproteota.